Xenopus laevis (African clawed frog) is the source of this 87-nucleotide non-coding RNA. The record is from Rfam. NCBI's taxonomy places the organism in Eukaryota, Metazoa, Chordata, Amphibia, Anura, Pipidae.
GGCGGUAGCUCUGGCAACGGAAUCCCAAAAGCAGCUGUUGUGGAAAUGUUCAGCUGCAGUUGGGACCCGUUCACUGAUCUAUUGCAA